RNAcentral lists this ribosomal RNA (496 nucleotides) under uncultured bacterium. RNAcentral describes it as "partial 16S ribosomal RNA". It matches the Rfam family "Bacterial small subunit ribosomal RNA", at positions 29 to 507 of the family's 1533-position model. The record is from RNAcentral.
AUGAACGCUGGCGGCGUGCCUAAUACAUGCAAGUCGAGCGAACAGACGAGGAGCUUGCUCCUCUGACGUUAGCGGCGGACGGGUGAGUAACACGUGGAUAACCUACCUAUAAGACUGGGAUAACUUCGGGAAACCGGAGCUAAUACCGGAUAAUAUAUUGAACCGCAUGGUUCAAUAGUGAAAGACGGUUUUGCUGUCACUUAUAGAUGGAUCCGCGCCGCAUUAGCUAGUUGGUAAGGUAACGGCUUACCAAGGCAACGAUGCGUAGCCGACCUGAGAGGGUGACCGGCCACACUGGAACUGAGACACGGUCCAGACUCCUACGGGAGGCAGCAGUAGGGAAUCUUCCGCAAUGGGCGAAAGCUUGACGGAGCAACGCCGCGUGAGUGAUGAAGGUCUUCGGAUCGUAAAACUCUGUUAUUAGGGAAGAACAAAUGUGUAAGUAACUAUGCACGUCUUGACGGUACCUAAUCAGAAAGCCACGGCUAACUACGUG